CUGCUGCCUUCCGUAGGAGUUUGGGCCGUGUCUCAGUCCCAAUGUGGCCGUCCACCCUCUCAGGCCGGCUACUGAUCGUCGCCUUGGUGGGCCGUUACCCCGCCAACAAGCUAAUCAGACGCGGG
RNAcentral lists this ribosomal RNA (125 nucleotides) under uncultured bacterium. RNAcentral's name for it is "partial 16S ribosomal RNA". The record is from RNAcentral.